UACAGAGGUCUAAAGCGUUGUUCGGAUUCAUUGGGCGUAAAGGGUGCGUAGGCGGCGCGGUAAGUCGGGUGUGAAAUCUUGGAGCUUAACUCCGAAACUGCAUUCGAUACUGCCGUGCUUGAGGACUGGAGAGGAGACUGGAAUUUACGGUGUAGCGGUGAAAUGCGUAGAUAUCGUAAGGAAGACCAGUGGCGAAGGCGGCGUGCUGGGUUGCAACUGACGCUGAGAUGCGAAAGUGUGGGGAGCAAACGGG
RNAcentral lists this ribosomal RNA (253 nucleotides) under uncultured bacterium. RNAcentral's name for it is "partial 16S ribosomal RNA". It matches the Rfam family "Bacterial small subunit ribosomal RNA", at positions 524 to 776 of the family's 1533-position model. The record is from RNAcentral.